GAUGAACGCUAGCGGCAGGCUUAACACAUGCAAGUCGAGGGGCAGCACGGGUAGCAAUACCUGGUGGCGACCGGCGGAAGGGUGCGUAACGCGUGAGCAACAUGCCCUAUACAGGGGAAUAAUCCAGGGAAACUUGGUCUAAUGCCCCAUAGCAAUAAGAUAAGGCAUCUUAUUUUAUUUAAAGCUUCGGUGGUAUAGGAUUGGCUCGCGUGACAUUAGCUGGAUGGAGAGGUAACGGCUCACCAUGGCAAUGAUGUCUAGGGGUUCUGAGAGGAAGGCCCCCCACACUGGGACUGAGACACGGCCCAGACUCCUACGGGAGGCAGCAGUGAGGAAUAUUGGACAAUGGAUGGAAAUCUGAUCCAGCCAUGCCGCGUGCAGGAAGACGGCCCUAUGGGUUGUAAACUGCUUUUCUACGGGAGCAAUAAGGUCUACGAGUAGACUGAUGAGAGUACCGUAGGAAUAAGCAUCGGCUAACUCCGUGCCAGCAGCCGCGGUAAUACGGAGGAUGCGAGCGUUAUCCGGAUUUAUUGGGUUUAAAGGGUGCGUAGGCGGCUUUUUAAGUCAGCGGUGAAAUUUUGCAGCUUAACUGUAACAGUGCCGUUGAUACUGAGAGGCUAGGAUUUGGUUGCUGUGGGUGGAUGUGGUGGUGUGUACCCGUGGAAAAGCCCUUAAAGAUCCCCCAAAAUAUCGAUUGCGAAGGCAGCUCACAAAGCCAAGAUUGACGCUGAGGCACGAAAGUGUGGGGAUCAAACA
This 756-nucleotide ribosomal RNA is filed under the name uncultured bacterium. Its description in RNAcentral is "bacterial SSU rRNA". It matches the Rfam family "Bacterial small subunit ribosomal RNA", at positions 28 to 774 of the family's 1533-position model. The record is from RNAcentral.